Molecule: ribosomal RNA, 404 nt
Filed under: uncultured bacterium
Lineage: Bacteria
Description: bacterial SSU rRNA
Rfam family: Bacterial small subunit ribosomal RNA
Source: RNAcentral
UGGGGAAUAUUGCACAAUGGGGGGAACCCUGAUGCAGCGACGCCGCGUGAGUGAAGAAGUCAUUCGUGAUGUAAAGCUCUAUCAGCAGGGAAGAAAAUGACGGUACCUGACUAAGAAGCCCCGGCUAACUACGUGCCAGCAGCCGCGGUAAUACGUAGGGGGCAAGCGUUAUCCGGAUUUACUGGGUGUAAAGGGAGCGUAGACGGCAAUGCAAGUCUGAAGUGAAACCCCGCGGCUCAACUGUGGGAUUGCUUUGGAAACUGUAAAGCUGGAGUGCAGGAGGGGUAAGCGGAAUUCCUAGUGUAGCGGUGAAAUGCGUAGAUAUUAGGAGGAACACCAGUGGCGAAGGCGGCUUACUGGACUGCAACUGACGUUGAGGCUCGAAGGCGUGGGGAGCAAACAGG